UACGGAGGGUGCAAGCGUUAUCCGGAUUCACUGGGUUUAAAGGGUGCGUAGGUGGGUUGGUAAGUCAGUGGUGAAAUCUCCGUGCUUAACAUGGAAACUGCCAUUGAUACUACUGGUCUUGAAUUUUCCGGAGGUAAGCGGAAUAUGUCAUGUAGCGGUGAAAUGCUUAGAUAUGACAUAGAACACCAAUUGCGAAGGCAGCUUACUACAGGGACAUUGACGCUGAGGCACGAAAGCGUGGGGAUCAAACAGG
RNAcentral lists this ribosomal RNA (253 nucleotides) under uncultured bacterium. RNAcentral describes it as "partial 16S ribosomal RNA". It matches the Rfam family "Bacterial small subunit ribosomal RNA", at positions 524 to 776 of the family's 1533-position model. The record is from RNAcentral.